RNAcentral lists this ribosomal RNA (77 nucleotides) under Pseudomonas moorei. The record is from RNAcentral. Lineage: Bacteria; Pseudomonadati; Pseudomonadota; Gammaproteobacteria; Pseudomonadales; Pseudomonadaceae. RNAcentral also lists the same sequence under 3 other names.
CCGAACUCAGAAGUGAAACGAUGCAUCGCCGAUGGUAGUGUGGGGUUUCCCCAUGUGAGAGUAGGUCAUCGUCAAGA